AAGACUAUAGACCUGCGGAGUACCUGCGGAAGGAUCAUUACUGUUAUUCAUCAUAAACACCCAGAGUUCAGACUUUGUUCAGACUUUGUUUGAACUCUUUGUGUGUUUGCAAACAAAAACACCCUCAAAAACAGCUUUUUAGUGUCUGACUGUUAACUAGUUUAAUACAAAAACAACUUUUAGCAAUGGAUCUCU
RNAcentral lists this unclassified non-coding RNA (195 nucleotides) under soil metagenome. RNAcentral describes it as "partial contains 5.8S ribosomal RNA, internal transcribed spacer 2, and large subunit ribosomal RNA". The record is from RNAcentral.